This 585-nucleotide ribosomal RNA is filed under the name uncultured archaeon. Its description in RNAcentral is "bacterial SSU rRNA". It matches the Rfam family "Archaeal small subunit ribosomal RNA", at positions 337 to 923 of the family's 1478-position model. The record is from RNAcentral.
AGGCGCGAAAACUCCGCAAUGCGCGAAAGCGUGACGGGGUCACCCCGAGUGCCACCUGCAGAAGGUGGCUUUUCCUCGGUAUAAUCAGCCGGGGGAAUAAGGGGAGGGCAAGCCUGGUGUCAGCCGCCGCGGUAAUACCAGCUCCCCGAGUGGUGAGGACGAUUAUUGGGCCUAAAGCAUCCGUAGCCGGUCUAGUAAGUUUCUCGUCAAAUCUGGCGAUCCAAUCGUCAGACCGCGGGAAAUACUGCUAGGCUAGGGGGCGGAAGAGGCCGACGGUACUCUUAGGGUAGGGGUGAAAUCCUAUAAUCCCGAGAGGACCACCAGUGGCGAAGGCGGUCGGCCAGAACGCGCCCGACGGUGAGGGAUGAAAGCUGGGGGAGCGAACCGGAUUAGAUACCCGGGUAGUCCCAGCUGUAAACGAUGCGAGCUAAGUGUCAGGGUGGCUUUAAAGUCAUUCUGGUGCUGCAGGGAAGCCGAUAAGCUCGCCGCCUGGGAAGUACGGCCGCAAGGCUGAAACUUAAAGGAAUUGGCGGGGGAGCACCACAAGGGGUGAAGCUUGCGGUUCAAUUGGAGUCAACGCCGGGA